RNAcentral lists this ribosomal RNA (495 nucleotides) under uncultured bacterium. RNAcentral describes it as "partial 16S ribosomal RNA". It matches the Rfam family "Bacterial small subunit ribosomal RNA", at positions 29 to 506 of the family's 1533-position model. The record is from RNAcentral.
AUGCACGCUGGCGGCGUGCCUAAUACAUGCAAGUCGAGCGAACAGACGAGGAGCUUGCUCCUCUGACGUUAGCGGCGGACGGGUGAGUAACACGUGGAUAACCUACCUAUAAGACUGGGAUAACUUCGGGAAACCGGAGCUAAUACCGGAUAAUAUAUUGAACCGCAUGGUUCAAUAGUGAAAGACGGUUUUGCUGUCACUUAUAGAUGGAUCCGCGCCGCAUUAGCUAGUUGGUAAGGUAACGGCUUACCAAGGCAACGAUGCGUAGCCGACCUGAGAGGGUGAUCGGCCACACUGGAACUGAGACACGGUCCAGACUCCUACGGGAGGCAGCAGUAGGGAAUCUUCCGCAAUGGGCGAAAGCUUGACGGAGCAACGCCGCGUGAGUGAUGAAGGUCUGCGGAUCGUAAAACUCUGUUAUUAGGGAAGAACAAAUGUGUAAGUAACGAUGCACGUCUGGACGGUACCUAAGCAGAAAGCCACGGCUAACUACGU